AUGCUUUUGUGGUUCAUAGGUGUGAUGGUUGGUUUUUCUCACUACUGUGGGACAUGUGUCUCCAUCAAACUAGCUAUGAUGUCAGCACGCUAUCUAAUUGACA
This is a small nucleolar RNA of Sciurus carolinensis (gray squirrel), 103 nucleotides long. RefSeq annotates it as small nucleolar RNA U13. The record is from RefSeq and is a predicted model, not a curated record. The transcript has a single exon. NCBI's taxonomy places the organism in Eukaryota, Metazoa, Chordata, Mammalia, Rodentia, Sciuridae.